Molecule: long non-coding RNA, 658 nt
Filed under: Mus pahari (shrew mouse)
Lineage: Eukaryota; Metazoa; Chordata; Mammalia; Rodentia; Muridae
Description: lncRNA (MGP_PahariEiJ_G0005089.1)
Source: RNAcentral
ACAUCCACAAGAGGCGCGGCGCCUCCUGGGUCGUGUGGCCAGUCUCCGGUUCGCUUUGGAAGGCUCUGCUAAGGAAAUGGUCAGGUUGCCAAAGGACCGGUCAUCUCUCAUCCUCCCUCCGGUCGAUCGGCGCCUCGGGUCUGCUGGACGGAGCUUGGAGCCUGGAGCCUGGAGCCAGGUGACUCUCAGAGCUGCUGUCUGUGGCCGCUGGGAGCAGGAACCCAGGAAACAGCAAUUCUAACCACGAGGAGAAUUUUUAAACCACACAUGUAUGUCAGAGAUGCACACAGAGCUCUGAGCCAUGGGAAUGUCCCAAGAAGCCAGGAGACAAUAAAGCGAGCUGUGUCAGAGAAUGCCUGUUGAAGGGCUGGGUUUCUGUCUCAGAAGGAUGGCGAUUUAUAAUCUGGCCCAGCCACAUCCCAGCUGUGUGGCCUCCAGGUCUUCUCAGAACUUCAGUGUUCUCGCCUACCAAAUGACAGUUCCACGGAGACCCCACCGAGGGACCAAGCGUCAGAUCUGUGGGUUUCACUAACACUCAGAACAAAAGCAGGGCAAAAAGAAAGAAGAAAAGAGGGGAGAGAAGCGAAGGCUCGGACAGCCACAAAGUUGUCACCGAUGGAGGGAGGGACCUACAUUGUCUCAAACCUUCUGUUCCUGG